GUGCUCACUUUGGCAGCACACAUAGUAAAACUGGAAUGAUAACGGAGAUUAGGAUGGCCCCUGUGCAAAAUUCAACCCUAUACUCCAGAUGUUUUUUCUUUACCU
This 105-nucleotide small nuclear RNA is filed under the name Fukomys damarensis (Damara mole-rat). The record is from RNAcentral. Lineage: Eukaryota; Metazoa; Chordata; Mammalia; Rodentia; Bathyergidae.